This is a long non-coding RNA of Triticum dicoccoides, 3943 nucleotides long. RefSeq lists it as uncharacterized. NCBI's taxonomy places the organism in Eukaryota, Viridiplantae, Streptophyta, Magnoliopsida, Poales, Poaceae. The record is from RefSeq and is a predicted model, not a curated record. The transcript has 7 exons.
GUAACCCCCUCCCCGAGCACCCACGCACGCAUCCUCCCCCCUUGCCCCUCCCCUCUAGCCACCGGCCAGCCCGAGCACGCUGCUCCUCCUCUCCACUGCCUCUCCCAUGUAGGAUGUAGCCACUGUCCUGUACUACGAGCAAGUCGCCGCUCCUCCCUCCGCCACGGCUUCGAGCUCCCAACCUGAACCCUGUGUAGUCACGAAAGUAUUAAAUGGAGCCUCCUUUGCCGCCACUCAACCCCGUUGAAGUACGGGCAGGAACCGCCUCCGCGGUGGCUGAGAAAUCAAGAAGAUGAGCGGGCAUGCCCGCACGGGGCGAGUGAAUCUGCGCUCUCUGCCCUUUUCCAAUCUGUAGUUUUGCACGCCGAUGUACCGUACAGAUCGGGCGACCGCGAAUCUUCGACUCUGCUGCAGCGGCUACCGGAUGCUCUCAUGUAGGGCCUGCUUACAAGGAAUAGCAGAGCUUUGCAAGAAUUUUUUCUAUCGAUGUAUGGAAUCAAUUUUUCCCCAAUGUCGACGCUGGAGACAUUCAUUUGAGUUCGCCCCAAGGCCUCCGACACCCCAGGACCAGCGCUGGCUUCACGUCUCCAGCGAGACUGGGAGGAAGAGUCGCCCGCCCUCUGCUCAUCCUUCCUGGCUGCCCCCAUCACCGGUGACGGUGACUGCGGUGAUCACAGCUUGGUUCAGAAUACAUGGGAUUUGAUUUGUCAAUAUCCACAAGCACACGACCUGCACUUUUUAUGUGAGGCAGCUCUUUAUGAUGCCCUUUUGCAUAUAUAAGCCUUUACUUGAGACACCAAUUGUUGGCACUGUAAUUUAGCGGCAGCAUUCUCGUGCCUGACAUUCAUCACAUGACCAUUCUACUAUGUUGCAUCAAGAACAAUUGUGUCCGCACAAUACCUGCAGAAUCAAUCGAUGUGUAAAUCACAGUCACAACAAGGUAUGGUGAUCCUGCCGGCGGAAAAGAAGUCAUGGAUUGUUGACCUUACAUGGCAACCUUGUAUCAGUUUUGGCUAUACAAACUUGCCUCUCUCCUUGGGAGCCGGAAUCUCUGACUUGCACGAGGGAAGUCAGGGAGCUACAGCGUUCUCCUUGUAUAGAAAAGAUAAGGCAAGUGAGAGACCUUGUGAAAUUGAAAUUGAUCUUCUUAAAAAAGUGAAAUUAGUUUUUUUAAUGAGUCUUUUGAAAUUGAAAUUGGUAUGUGCGAAUUGAAAUUGAUUAUUUAAAAAUUGAAAUCGGUCUUUUGAAAAUUGAAAUGAGUACCCUUCAUGGAGCUAGAGAGAAGUGAAGUCAGAUUACUGUAGCUCCCUUGAUUUCACUUCAUAAGUCAAAGGAUCCAGCGGACUUUUUAUGUUGUAUGCAAUUGUGGUAGUAUGGCUCUAAUGAGUUUUCGCGAACUGCAUCUUGUGAGUGUUAUAUGUUAGAGAUAAGCCACGACUGUGUGCGCGUUGAGCCAGGCGCCGGUGCGUGGCUGCGUUGAUGGUCGUGGCGAGUGUGCCGGUCAAGUUAGAUAGCUACAUGUGUGCUGGAUCGGUUGGAUCCUGGAGUGAGUCUAGGAGAAGAUCAAGUCAAAAGUUUGUUAGCUUGGCCAACCAGUACGUGCAUGUAGGAGUAGCUAAUGCAUGCGGUUAGUGGCCGUGUUGUUAGCAGGUCAUGCGUAUGUGGGUUAGUUGAGUUAGUGGCCGAUGGUGGCAGGGUCAUGCGUGCGUGCGCGCGGUGGCCUGCAUGGUAGCUAGCUAGGUGUGUGUGCGCACAGGGUAUAAAUACCCACUCCAUGUAAUGAUCAAGGUGCGUCGGUAUGAGCCGAGCCUAGGGCCAGAGAUGAGGUAGUCUCCGCCGGACCGUGGUGUGCGCCCGGUCGGCUGUGAGAGAGAGCUCCUCUGGAUAGGCUGCGGUUUCUUGCCGAGCCCGAGGUAUGUGCCCAGUAAAGUGAGGCCAUUCGUGUGACCAAGGCGCCGUUCGUGCAGCGGGGCGUUCGUGCGCCGGAAAUACUUGUGUCCCCCUCCUUCUUCCACCUACGUUCGAGCGAGUGUGAGAUCGAGUUGGUCCGGGGUUUGUCCCAACAUUUGGUAUCAUGAGCUUGGUUGGCUUAGGCGUGGUUCGUCGUAUCGGAGGUGUGCUGGCGAUGGCGGUGUUUGUCGGCGGCUGUGCAAAGCUUCGGGCCAUGUGUCGGCCUAUGGAGGUGUGCGGCGUUGUGGAUGCCAUGACGGACGCAGAGACGGCGCGCGGUGAGUACGCGGCGAGCGUGGCGGUCGCGGAGGCGCUGCGUGUGGCGUGGCGGCAUGGAGGUGGUGCACGGAGGCGGAGGCCGCAGCGGCGCGGUGCGACGGCAUGAAGCGGCGUCCAAGAAGGCCCGCGUUUGUGCGCGAUGGCAUCGACGGCGUAUGUCGCCGGUGGAGGAGGAGCUCGGCGUGUGUCGCCCAAGAAGAGCAUGGAGGCUGCAUCAAAUGUAGUGGAGGCCCAUGGCGACGACGAUGACGGGAGCUCCUCUAGAUAGGCUGCAGUUUCUUGCCGAGCUCGAGGUAUGUGCCCAGUAAAGUGAGGCCGUUCGUGCGGCCGAGGCGCCGUUCGUGCGGCGGGGCGUUUGUGCGCCGGAAAUACUUGUGUCUCUCUCCUUCUUCCACCUAUGUUCAAGCGAGUGUGAGAUCGAGUUGGUCCGGGGUUUGUCCCAACAUUAUAUUCAGUGCUAUUAGUAUGGCUCUACUGAAUUUUGGAAAGUGCAUCUUGUGAAUGUCGUAUUCAGCUGUAGAAUUUAAUUGAUAACACAACCAUCAAAUUUGAUGAAGAUUUUCACCUUGUGAAACCAUUGGUCAUGAUCUGUUAGUACAGUUUAUUGUUUUAACAUAUCAUUAAUAGCAUUGCCGAUACUACAUAGAGUUCCAUUUAAUGUGUGUAGUAGCAUAUCCUUUUUGGUAUAGGUUUUCAAAAUAGUGGGGUUGUGGACAACCAUUUUGCAGAAUUCUUAAACUGAUGGUCCUGUAAAGUCAUAUGGUCAUAGACCAGUAAAUUCUGGUUAAGAGGGAUGCUACAGUGCACUCAGGCAACAAUCUGGUGGCCACACUUUCUAACGUGAUCUAAGGUACAACCUAGCAGCAAGGGUAACGUUUUCAGGCUGUAACAACUGAAUUAUGGCUUCAAUGUUCUCAGUGUAGUGGAACUUUAGAAAUAAUUGAAUUUAUCAUAUGUAUCAAUUUAUCUCUCCUGGAAUUAUGAAUCAUAUUUUAUAUGACUGAAAUGUCAGAUGAUUUAUAUCUCAAUCCAGUAUUGGACACUAUGUUGUGAAUGUUGCCUUGCCUUCUCUGGCUCUAUCUAUAUUCAACUUUUUUGUUUCUACAGUAUAUUGUUGUACAGUCAAUCGUUUGUCAAGCAUUUGUUGGAUCUAUUUUGCAUGGGCAAAUUAUUGAAGUUGUAUCAUUCAUGUGGUUCUAAUGUUUUAUAUUUCCGGUGUCGUUUGUUGCAUGUCCACACUAGCAACUGAAUAUUUAUGUAAUUUAAGAACCCAUGUUAAAUCUUUGUAUGCCUUCACGAGGAGAUUUGGAAUGAUGUAUGUUCUUUCUUGUGUAGAAGUAUUGCAUCGACAAUGUUGAAAAUUUAAUUUCAUGUCACUUGUGAGGAAAAUAGAUUUUGUAGUUGCAACAACACUGAAACUUACGUAUGUCUGCAAGGUGGAUUCCAUUUGGCAUGUUGGAGCAUGGUGUGUCGCCUGAAACGAAGGGAGCGGGACUACCAAAGAGAAUAUGGCGAGAAGUUGGAAGGGAGCUCUCUAACAAGGCGGGGUAAUAGGGUGGUAGCAGUAGGGGCUGACGGAGGUGGAUAGAGAACUGAGCGACUGACAUGCAGUCCUAGAGAUGUUGAAUUUGAUUAACUAUCUGUAUAGAUAAAACUGACAUGGUAAUCAUACAUAAAGGCAAUGGAGUAUGUUGUUUGGAAAAUAAAUGAAGGC